RNAcentral lists this unclassified non-coding RNA (1234 nucleotides) under Hevea brasiliensis (rubber tree). Lineage: Eukaryota; Viridiplantae; Streptophyta; Magnoliopsida; Malpighiales; Euphorbiaceae. The record is from RNAcentral.
AACCUCAGCGAGGACGCUGAGUCCUGAAAGGGGGGGAGAAAUGUCCCUUAGGUAAAUCCCACAUCAGCAAAGCACGGAGAUGGUCUUUUAUUCAAAAAGUUAUGAUAUAUAAAAUGGAGAACUAAUCACUAGAGGCGCCUUUUGGUGGAAUGGCCUGAAGAGUUGGAAGAACUCCAGGGUUAAGCGUGCUCGCUUGAGAGAAAUCCUAAGAUGAGUGACCUCCUGAGAAGUUCUCCAUUUCACCUAUGGGACAAAACCGUGAGGCUUAUGGCCAAAGCGGACAAUUCCUCUAGUGGUUGGAGCCCGAUCGUUACAAAUAAUGAGCCAAAGCAACAAUUUGACCAUUUCCUUAUAUAUUGAUGAUGCUUAUACUUAGAUACCAAAUCUUGCUUGACAAAAUCCAUACUAAAAUUUUGAACUGAUUUUCUUUAGGUGUGUUAUGACUGGAGUAAGGGUGCAGAAAAUCACAACCCACAAACGGCAAAGACCUACAUCUAUCUGCAUUUGCCACAGGAGUCUGAGGUUAAAGGCAAACCACGAGUUGGAACAAGUGGUAGAAAGUAGAGCUGCAUAAUAUCAUCAGAGGAAAUAUCGCCUGUUUUUCACUUGAAAAAUGAUGCAUUAUCGCACUGUCAAUACAAGGUUUUGACUUAGGAGUUUUGUGAGUAUUGGCAGGCGUCACUGUUAGUAGAUUUGGCGAUAUAGAUGUAGGUACAUGUUUAUCUCACCUAAAUUUGGAUCCCAAUACAGUGAUCAAUGGCUUAUUGUAGCAUAGAAGUUGGCAAUUCAGCUUGACGUGUAUGGUGAGAUUUCUACAGUAGUUGGUGUCUAGGGUUGAUCUAUGCUUUGCAAGAUUCUGCAGUUUGUUUGCAAGAUUCUGCAGUUUGUCAUGAAAUCUGUUUCGCAAUUCCUUUAUCAGAAGAAAAUGCACUCAAUGAACCAAGUGGGUUUGGUGUAAUGGUGAACAGUGAACGGGCACCAUAGCUCAUAAAUUGGUCAUGUGUUCCAUCCGUGGAAUGAACAGUUUAAGAAUCCACUCAAUGAUCUUAUAGUCUUAUCUCAUGGUAGAAACUGAACCUCUCCUGUUGAGAUCUAUUAAAUAUGAUGAUUGCGUGAACUGAGGUUGUGCUUUCGUCGAUUAACAAAAAGAUGAAAAACAAUCAUUUGUUGAUCCAUGGAGCAAGGUUUUGUCUUUUGCUAGAAUGAAAAUAAAUUUGACCAUCACCAAUUGCAG